CUUUCACUCUGGCGGCAUGCCUAACACAUGCAAGUCGAGCGGAUGAACGGGGCGUUCUCCUGGAUUCAGCGGCGGACGGGUGAGUAAUUCAUAGGAAUCUGCCUUGUAUUGGGGGAUGACGUCCCGAAAGGGGCGCUAAUACCGCAUACGUCCUUAUGUUGAAAGGGGUGGUUCUUCGGACCUCGCGCGAUCUGAUGUGCCUAGGUCGGAUUAGCUAGUUGGUGUGGUAAAGGCCUACCAAGGCGACGAUCCGUAGCUGGUCUGAGAGGAUGAUCAGCCACACUGGAACUGAGACACGGUCCAGACUCCUACGGGAGGCAGCAGUGGGGAAUCUUGGACAAUGGGCGAAAGCCUGAUCCAGCAAUGCCGCGUGUGUGAAGAAGGUCUUCGGAUUGUAAAGCUCUUUUAGUUGGGAGGAAGAACAGUGAGAUAAUACCUUGCUGUCUUGACGGUACCAACAGAAUAAGCCACGGCUAACUUCGUG
Molecule: ribosomal RNA, 484 nt
Filed under: uncultured bacterium
Lineage: Bacteria
Description: partial 16S ribosomal RNA
Rfam family: Bacterial small subunit ribosomal RNA
Source: RNAcentral